AUACGUAGGGGGCAAGCGUUAUCCGGAAUUAUUGGGCGUAAAGAGUGCGUAGGUGGUUAUGUAAGCGUGAGGUUUAAGGCAGUGGCUUAACCACUGUUCGCCUUGCGAACUACAUAACUUGAGUGCAGGAGGGGAAAGCGGAAUUCCUAGUGUAGCGGUGAAAUGCGUAGAUAUUAGGAGGAACACCAGCGGCGAAGGCGGCUUUCUGGACUGCAACUGACACUGAGGCACGAAAGCGUGGGGAGCAAACAGGAUUAGAUACCCUGGUAGUCCACGCCGUAAACGAUGAGCACUAGUUGUUGGGUCCGAACGGAUUCAGUGACGCAGUUAACGCAAUAAGUGCUCCGCCUGGGGAGUACGCUCGCAAGAGUAAAACUCAAAUGAAUUGACGGGG
RNAcentral lists this ribosomal RNA (394 nucleotides) under uncultured bacterium. Its description in RNAcentral is "partial 16S ribosomal RNA". It matches the Rfam family "Bacterial small subunit ribosomal RNA", at positions 523 to 918 of the family's 1533-position model. The record is from RNAcentral.